UGGGAAUAAGAAAGACUUUCUUAUUCCUCCACAUUCUCGCUCCUGCGUAUCCAGAUUUGGGGGUCUGGCAUUUUGGUUCUUUGAAUUUGGAAUGCACAAACCUUGAAGGUGAUUUCCCUUACACGUUGCGAUUAAGAUAAGAGAAAAUAAAGAGCUAUCUCAAUCUCGAUGUCUGAGGAACAACUUCAAUCUCUUUCUGCAACAUAACACACAACAAAGAACACAAUCCUUCAAGAAACAAUAAAACAAAACAAAAAAGUCCUUUUCAAAAAAAACAAAACAGAUUAAAAAAAAACAAAGGAGAGGUUUAUUCUUAGAGGAAGUUCUAAAGCAAAAAAAAAAAAUCAAUUCUAACUUCACACUCAAAUGAUUAAAGCUAUGUUUGAGACAACUUUAGAUCCAAAAUUAGUUUGCAGAGGAAACCCACCUCGUAUUUAAAGUGCAGUUUAUAUGGCAAUUCAAUUCACAGAUGCAUCAUUUCUUUCAAUAAAAAACGCAUAUGAAAUAUACCAGUAUCUACUGAUAAC
Molecule: long non-coding RNA, 527 nt
Filed under: Vigna radiata
Lineage: Eukaryota; Viridiplantae; Streptophyta; Magnoliopsida; Fabales; Fabaceae
Description: long non-coding RNA (VRAD_LNC016655)
Source: RNAcentral